This 229-nucleotide long non-coding RNA is filed under the name Panax ginseng (ginseng). Its description in RNAcentral is "long non-coding RNA (PGIN_LNC015370)". The record is from RNAcentral. Lineage: Eukaryota; Viridiplantae; Streptophyta; Magnoliopsida; Apiales; Araliaceae.
UGUAGCAUCCCCGAAUCCGGGUCCCAAAUCGCCACGGAUCCGUUAUAUUAUUUCUAUCACUAUUGCGGAAGAUAUAAACAUAAAUUGUUUAUACAUUAAACUUUUACACAUCAUUCCCAAGGUCUACAACCUUAACUUAAUACAUACCUUCAAUAUCUUAGAAGAUUUACAAUACUAUUUUCAUCAGAAAAUUUAAUAAAUUUAACUACAACAUAAAGAAACUUUGCNN